This 497-nucleotide ribosomal RNA is filed under the name uncultured bacterium. RNAcentral describes it as "partial 16S ribosomal RNA". It matches the Rfam family "Bacterial small subunit ribosomal RNA", at positions 28 to 507 of the family's 1533-position model. The record is from RNAcentral.
GAUGAACGCUGGCGGCGUGCCUAAUACAUGCAAGUCGAGCGAACAGACGAGGAGCUUGCUCCUCUGACGUUAGCGGCGGACGGGUGAGUAACACGUGGAUAACCUACCUAUAAGACUGGGAUAACUUCGGGAAACCGGAGCUAAUACCGGAUAAUAUAUUGAACCGCAUGGUUCAAUAGUGAAAGACGGUUUUGCUGUCACUUAUAGAUGGAUCCGCGCCGCAUUAGCUAGUUGGUAAGGUAACGGCUUACCAAGGCAACGAUGCGUAGCCGACCUGAGAGGGUGAUCGGCGACACUGGAACUGAGACGCGGUCCAGACUCCUACGGGAGGCAGCAGUAGGGAAUCUGCCGCAAUGGGCGAGAGCUUGACGGAGCAACGCCGCGUGAGUGAUGAAGGUCUUCGGAUCGUAAAACUCUGUUAUUAGGGAAGAACAAAUGUGUAAGUAACUAUGCACGUCUUGACGGUACCUAAUCAGAAAGCCACGGCUAACUACGUG